GAUCAUGGCUCAGAUUGAACGCUGGCGGCAUGCCUUACACAUGCAAGUCGAACGGUAGAGGGGCAACCCUCGAGAGUGGCGAACGGGUGAGUAAUGCAUCGGAACGUACCCAGUUGUGGGGGAUAGCUCGGCGAAAGCCGGAUUAAUACCGCAUACGCCCUGAGGGGGGAAAGCGGGGGACUCGCAAGAGCCUCGCGCAAUUGGAGCGGCCGAUGUCAGAUUAGCUAGUUGGUGGGGUAAAAGCCUACCAAGGCGACGAUCUGUAGCUGGUCUGAGAGGAUGACCAGCCACACUGGGACUGAGACACGGUCCAGACUCCUACGGGAGGCAGCAGUGGGGAAUUUUGGACAAUGGGCGCAAGCCUGAUCCAGCAAUGCCGCGUGCAGGAAGAAGGCCUUCGGGUUGUAAACUGCUUUUGUACGGAACGAAACGGCUCUGGUUAAUACCUGGGGCUAAUGACGGUACCGUAAGAAUAAGCACCGGCUAACUACGUG
This 494-nucleotide ribosomal RNA is filed under the name uncultured bacterium. RNAcentral's name for it is "bacterial SSU rRNA". It matches the Rfam family "Bacterial small subunit ribosomal RNA", at positions 15 to 507 of the family's 1533-position model. The record is from RNAcentral.